GGCGUGCCUAAUACACGCAAGUCGAACGCACUGACGUUGACAGAAGGUGCUUGCACUGGAAGUUGAUUGACGUGAGUGGCGGACGGGUGAGUAACACGUGGGUAACCUGCCCUUAAGCGGGGGAUAACAUUUGGAAACAGAUGCUAAUACCGCAUAAAAGUUGAGAUCACAUGGUCUUAAUUUGAAAGACGGCCUUUGGCUGUCACUUAAGGAUGGACCCGCGGCGUAUUAGCUAGUUGGUGAGAUAAUAGCCCACCAAGGCGAUGAUACGUAGCCGACCUGAGAGGGUAAUCGGCCACAUUGGGACUGAGACACGGCCCAAACUCCUACGGGAGGCAGCAGUAGGGAAUCUUCCACAAUGGACGAAAGUCUGAUGGAGCAACGCCGCGUGAGUGAAGAAGGUUUUCGGAUCGUAAAACUCUGUUGUUGGAGAAGAACAGGGACUAGAGUAACUGUUAGUCCUUUGACGGUAUCCAACCAGAAAGCCACGGCUAACUACGUGCCAGCAGCCGCGGUAAUACGUAGGUGGCAAGCGUUGUCCGGAUUUAUUGGGCGUAAAGCGAGCGCAGGCGGUUUCUUAAGUCUGAUGUGAAAGCCUUCGGCUUAACCGAAGAAGUGCAUCAGAUACUGGGAAACUUGAGUGCAGAAGAGGAAAGUGGAACUCCAUGUGUAGCGGUGAAAUGCGUAGAUAUAUGGAAGAACACCAGUGGCGAAGGCGGCUUUCUGGUCUGUAACUGACGCUGAGGCUCGAAAGUAUGGGGAGCGAACAGGAUUAGAUACCCUGGUAGUCCAUACCGUAAACGAUGAAUGCUAAGUGUUGGAGGGUUUCCGCCCUUCAGUGCUGCAGCUAACGCAUUAAGCAUUCCGCCUGGGGAGUACGACCGCAAGGUUGAAACUCAAAGGAAUUGACGGGGGCCCGCACAAGCGGUGGAGCAUGUGGUUUAAUUCGAAGCUACGCGAAGAACCUUACCAGGUCUUGACAUCUAGCGCCAAUCCUAGAGAUAGGACGUUCCCUUCGGGGACGCUAAGACAGGUGGUGCAUGGUUGUCGUCAGCUCGUGUCGUGAGAUGUUGGGUUAAGUCCCGCAACGAGCGCAACCCUUAUGAUUAGUUGCCAGCAUUUAGUUGGGCACUCUAAUCAGACUGCCGGUGACAAACCGGAGGAAGGUGGGG
This 1172-nucleotide ribosomal RNA is filed under the name uncultured bacterium. RNAcentral describes it as "bacterial SSU rRNA". It matches the Rfam family "Bacterial small subunit ribosomal RNA", at positions 41 to 1178 of the family's 1533-position model. The record is from RNAcentral.